Molecule: ribosomal RNA, 1244 nt
Filed under: metagenome
Description: bacterial LSU rRNA
Rfam family: Bacterial large subunit ribosomal RNA
Source: RNAcentral
UGAAUACGAGAUGCUACGGCGUCGAAGCAGUCUAUGUCAUACUUCCAAGAAAAGCUUGCACUGUCAUAAACAAAUAAUGCCUGUACCAUAACCGACACAGGUGGGUAGGUAGAGUAUACUAAGGGGCGCGAGAUAACUCUCUCUAAGGAACUCGGCAAAAUGACUCCGUAACUUCGGGAGAAGGUGUGCCUUAUUUAUAAGGUUGCAAUAACAAGAUCCAAGCAACUGUUUACCAAAAACACAGGUCUCCGCUAAGUCGUAAGACGAUGUAUGGGGGCUGACGCCUGCCCAGUGCCAGAAGGUUAAAGAAGUUGGUUAGCAUCCGCGAAGCUGAUAACUGAAGCCCUGGUGAACGGCGGCCGUAACGAUAACGGUCCUAAGGUAGCGAAAUUCCUUGUCGGGUAAGUUCCGACCCGCACGAAAGGCGUAAUGAUUUGGAUACUGUCUCGGAGAGGGGCUCGGUGAAAUAGACUUGUCUGUGAAGAUGCGGACUACCUGCACCAGGACAGAAAGACCCUAUGAAGCUUUACUGUAACCUGAAAUUGAAAUUGGACUUUACUUGCGCAGUAUAGGUGGGAGGCGUUGAGAAUAUUCUUGCGGGAUUAUUGGAGCCAUCAGUGAGAUACCACUCUUGUAAUGUUAGAUUUCUAACUUUGUAUCAUUAUCUGGUCAAAGAACAGUUUCAGGCGGGCAGUUUGACUGGGGCGGUCGCCUCCUAAACGGUAACGGAGGCGCACAAAGGUUUCCUCUGAACGGGUAGAAAUCGUAUCUAGAGUGUAAAGGCAUAAGGAAGCUUGACUGUGAGACCUACAAGUCGAGCAGGGACGAAAGUCGGUCUUAGUGAUCUGACGGUGCUGAGUGGAAAGGCCGUCACUCAACGGAUAAAAGUUACUCUAAGGAUAACAGGCUGAUCUCCCCCAAGAGUUCACAUCGACGGGGAGGCUUGGCACCUCGAUGUCGGCUCGUCGCAUCCUGGGGCGGUAGUACGUCCCAAGGGUUGGGCUGUUCGCCCAUGAAAGCGGUACGCGAGCUGGGUUCAGAACGUCGUGAGACAGUUCGGUCCAUAUCCGGUGUAGGCGUUAGAAUAUUGAGAGGAGCCUUCUUUAGUACGAGAGGACCGAGAAGGACAUACCUCUGGUGUACCAGUUAUCGUGCCAACGGUAAACGCUGGGUAGCUAUGUGUGGAGUGGAUAACCGCUGAAAGCAUCUAAGUGGGAAGCCCACCUCAAGAUAAGUAUUCUCGU